RNAcentral lists this long non-coding RNA (223 nucleotides) under Lathyrus oleraceus (garden pea). RNAcentral describes it as "Pisum sativum (pea) long non-coding RNA (PSAT_LNC025474)". Lineage: Eukaryota; Viridiplantae; Streptophyta; Magnoliopsida; Fabales; Fabaceae. The record is from RNAcentral.
GGGAGACAAAGAUCUACAACUUUCAUGUACACCAAAAAUCCAUUUGAAACUUAUUUGACAUUGAAAAGUCAAGUUGAAAGUGGACCAAAACUUGCCAAAUUUGGAAACUUUGAAUUACAGGUCAUUUUCCAUUUUUAGUAACUUUUGCCCUGACCUUUGAAUCUUCAAGAUGGAUGUUUAGAAUGAUGAAUAGACCCCAUUUGAACAUGAUUGAGGUGUCUCA